Molecule: unclassified non-coding RNA, 356 nt
Filed under: Hevea brasiliensis (rubber tree)
Lineage: Eukaryota; Viridiplantae; Streptophyta; Magnoliopsida; Malpighiales; Euphorbiaceae
Source: RNAcentral
AAAAAUACGCUUCAAGAUUUUCUUAGUCAGUACAUUAGAAAAAAACUGAUGAAUCUUUUACAAAAAUUUGUCUGCAGUGACCUUGUUGAAAUAAUAUCAAAGUUGAGUGAUUUAACUAAUACAAACUGAAAGUUUAUUGAUUUUAUUAAGACCAGUUGAAGUCCAGUGUCCAUGCUAAAAUUUGCUGAUAAGUUUGGUGACCAAGAGUGGGAUAAUUUGCUCUUAUCGUCCCUAAAUUUUAAUGGGUAUUUCAUGUUCGUCUCUAAAUUUUAAUUUGUUAUAAGAAAAUACUUCAAUUUCAAUUUUGUUUUAAAAACCAUUCAUUCCACCUGCAAUAACAGGUUUACAAGUAAAAU